UUAUUUGAAUCCAGCAUUUAAAUAUUUUAUGGAUCUCAGUGUUGAUGAAGAUUUAUUAAGUUCUUUGAAAAAGGUGGUUGCAAAGUUGGAGCCUGAUGAAGAUAAUGUUGCUAUUGCAAUGCAAGAGGCCAAAUUAUUCUGCGAGGCAUUAGGAGGAUUUGGAGAUAGCUUGGUACAGAGAGCAUGAGAUAAAACUGACAUAGCUGAAUGGUGGUUGAUGUAUGGUCAAUACGCCCCACAUCUUUGAAAGAUUGCAAUAAAUGUAUUAUCACGAAUUGCUUCAUCUAGUGGUUGUGAACGCAAUUAGAGUACCUUUGGCCUCAUCGAAACAAAACAGAUGAAUCAUCUAUCCUAUGAGACUCUUGAAAAGUUAGUGUAUGUGCAUUAUAAUAUGAGACUAAAGGUUAGA
Molecule: non-coding RNA, 409 nt
Organism: Nelumbo nucifera (sacred lotus)
Lineage: Eukaryota; Viridiplantae; Streptophyta; Magnoliopsida; Proteales; Nelumbonaceae
Source: RefSeq, a predicted model, not a curated record